Molecule: ribosomal RNA, 166 nt
Filed under: uncultured bacterium
Lineage: Bacteria
Description: partial 16S rRNA
Rfam family: Bacterial small subunit ribosomal RNA
Source: RNAcentral
CAGUAGGGAAUCUUCCACAAUGGGCGCAAGCCUGAUGGAGCAACACCGCGUGAGUGAAGAAGGGUUUCGGCUCGUAAAGCUCUGUUGUUAAAGAAGAACACGUAUGAGAGUAACUGUUCAUACGUUGACGGUAUUUAACCAGGAAGUCACGGCUAACUACGUGCCA